RNAcentral lists this non-coding RNA (896 nucleotides) under Caracanthus unipinna (pygmy coral croucher). RNAcentral's name for it is "partial 12S rRNA". It matches the Rfam family "Bacterial small subunit ribosomal RNA", at positions 307 to 1533 of the family's 1533-position model. The record is from RNAcentral. Lineage: Eukaryota; Metazoa; Chordata; Actinopteri; Perciformes; Caracanthidae.
ACCCCCGUGAGGAUGCCCCAAUAGCCCCCCACCCGGGGGCGAGGAGCUGGUAUCAGGCACACACGCUGGCCCACGACGCCUUGCUUAGCCACACCCCCAAGGGAACUCAGCAGUGAUAGACAUUAAGCUAUAAGUGAAAGCUUGACUUAGUCAAAGCUAAUUAGGGUCGGUAAAACUCGUGCCAGCCACCGCGGUUAUACGAGAGACCCAAGUUGGUACUUCCCGGCGUAAAGCGUGGCUAAGCGAUAAAAAAAAUUAAAGCCGAACUUUUUCUUCGCCGUCAUACGCAUAUGUAAGAAGGAAGCCCAAUUACGAAGGUAGCUUUAAGAAAUCCUGACUCCACGAAAGCCGCGGCACAAACUGGGAUUAGAUACCCCACUAUGCCCAGCCGUAAACAUUGGCAGGCCCACUACACUCCCUGCCCGCCCGGAUACUACGAGCAUUAGCUUAAAAUCCAAAGGACUUGGCGGUGCUUUAGACCCCCCUAGAGGAGCCUGUUCUAGAACCGAUAAUCCCCGUUCAACCUCACCUUUCCUUGUCCAAUACAGCCUAUAUACCGCCGUCGUCAGCUAACCCUGUGAAGGAUUAACAAUUAGCACAAUCGGCACAGCCAAAAACGUCAGGUCGAGGUGUAGCGCAUGGAAAGGGAAGAAAUGGGCUACAUUCUCUACAAUAGAGCAAACAAAUGAUGUACUGAAAAAAUACUUCUGAAGGUGGAUUUAGCAGUAAGGAGGAAGCAGAGCGUCCCCCUGAAGAUGGCUCUAAAGCGCGCACACACCGCCCGUCACUCUCCCCGAUACAUCACCACUCGUAUAUUAACAAGCCUAGAUAAAAUACUGAGGGGAGGCAAGUCGUAACAUGGUAAGAGUACCGGAAGGUGCCCUUGGCAAAAUAUA